This 67-nucleotide microRNA precursor is filed under the name Bombyx mori (domestic silkworm). Its description in RNAcentral is "mir-2774 microRNA precursor family". It matches the Rfam family "mir-2774 microRNA precursor family". Lineage: Eukaryota; Metazoa; Arthropoda; Insecta; Lepidoptera; Bombycidae. The record is from Rfam by way of RNAcentral.
AAUACAUUAGGACCGUCGGUCUACCGAGCAAUAUCACCCGCUCGGUAGAAGAUCUUCCUUUCGUCAU